UUGUUUUCUCAGGUUUCCUGUUUGUGCCCUGCUGUCACUGGUCUGUACAAUUCCACAGACUAAAAGUUGGAGGGUUUUUUCAGGUGAAUUUUGGGGAAUUAGGAACACAGCUCCCAAGAUCAUAAUUUUCCCAGUCCAGGACUGUACCUGCAAACCAACGACCACUCUGGCACAUGCCAGCCCACUGAUACAUUGCUCCUCUGUAACUGCUGUGGGACAGGAGUACAUAAGUGCACAACAGAAAAAAAACCAGCAUUGAAGAAGCGUGUAAUAGAGGAAUGUUGCACACAAAAUAAUGUUUGGGGUCAUCCAAGGAAGAUGGACAGGAUGGAGGGCAGGAAGGUCCCAAAGCCUGACAUUUGGGCGAGAGGUCCUCUCUGAAGUAAGCAUCGCUCUCCAAUCCAUCGCAGUCAAAUCCCAUGAGGGAACACCACAAGAUGCUCUCCUUCCCGAGAAAUACCUGCCUUCUCCUGCUCCCCUCUGUGGUUUAAUUAAAGCAUUUUAGAAAUUUCUGCUCAGCA
This is a long non-coding RNA of Pseudopipra pipra, 521 nucleotides long. RefSeq lists it as uncharacterized. NCBI's taxonomy places the organism in Eukaryota, Metazoa, Chordata, Aves, Passeriformes, Pipridae. The record is from RefSeq and is a predicted model, not a curated record. The transcript is spliced from 2 exons.